This 495-nucleotide ribosomal RNA is filed under the name uncultured bacterium. RNAcentral describes it as "partial 16S ribosomal RNA". It matches the Rfam family "Bacterial small subunit ribosomal RNA", at positions 28 to 505 of the family's 1533-position model. The record is from RNAcentral.
GACGAACGCUGGCGGCGUGCCUAAUACAUGCAAGUUGAGCGCUGAAGGUUGGUACUUGUACCAACUGGAUGAGCAGCGAACGGGUGAGUAACGCGUGGGGAAUCUGCCUUUGAGCGGGGGACAACAUUUGGAAACGAAUGCUAAUACCGCAUAAAAACUUUAAACACAAGUUUUAAGUUUGAAAGAUGCAAUUGCAUCACUCAAAGAUGAUCCCGCGUUGUAUUAGCUAGUUGGUGAGGUAAAGGCUCACCAAGGCGAUGAUACAUAGCCGACCUGAGAGGGUGAUCGGCAACAGUGGGACUGAGACACGGCCCAAACUCCUACGGGAGGCAGCAGUAGGAAAUCUUCGGCAAUGGACGAAAGUCUGACCGAGCAACGCCGCGUGAGUGAAGAAGGUUUUCGGAUCGUAAAACUCUGUUGGUAGAGAAGAGCGUUGGUGAGAGUGGAAAGCACAUCAAGUGACGGUAACUACCCAGAAAGGGACGGCUAACUACG